This 1512-nucleotide ribosomal RNA is filed under the name Staphylococcus aureus. Its description in RNAcentral is "partial 23S ribosomal RNA". It matches the Rfam family "Bacterial large subunit ribosomal RNA", at positions 1395 to 2904 of the family's 2925-position model. The record is from RNAcentral. Lineage: Bacteria; Bacillati; Bacillota; Bacilli; Caryophanales; Staphylococcaceae.
GCUGAGGCCGACAGGCGUAGGCGAUGGAUAACAGGUUGAUAUUCCUGUACCACCUAUAAUCGUUUUAAUCGAUGGGGGGACGCAGUAGGAUAGGCGAAGCGUGCGAUUGGAUUGCACGUCUAAGCAGUAAGGCUGAGUAUUAGGCAAAUCCGGUACUCGUUAAGGCUGAGCUGUGAUGGGGAGAAGACAUUGUGUCUUCGAGUCGUUGAUUUCACACUGCCGAGAAAAGCCUCUAGAUAGAAAAUAGGUGCCCGUACCGCAAACCGACACAGGUAGUCAAGAUGAGAAUUCUAAGGUGAGCGAGCGAACUCUCGUUAAGGAACUCGGCAAAAUGACCCCGUAACUUCGGGAGAAGGGGUGCUCUUUAGGGUUAACGCCCAGAAGAGCCGCAGUGAAUAGGCCCAAGCGACUGUUUAUCAAAAACACAGGUCUCUGCUAAACCGUAAGGUGAUGUAUAGGGGCUGACGCCUGCCCGGUGCUGGAAGGUUAAGAGGAGUGGUUAGCUUCUGCGAAGCUACGAAUCGAAGCCCCAGUAAACGGCGGCCGUAACUAUAACGGUCCUAAGGUAGCGAAAUUCCUUGUCGGGUAAGUUCCGACCCGCACGAAAGGCGUAACGAUUUGGGCACUGUCUCAACGAGAGACUCGGUGAAAUCAUAGUACCUGUGAAGAUGCAGGUUACCCGCGACAGGACGGAAAGACCCCGUGGAGCUUUACUGUAGCCUGAUAUUGAAAUUCGGCACAGCUUGUACAGGAUAGGUAGGAGCCUUUGAAACGUGAGCGCUAGCUUACGUGGAGGCGCUGGUGGGAUACUACCCUAGCUGUGUUGGCUUUCUAACCCGCACCACUUAUCGUGGUGGGAGACAGUGUCAGGCGGGCAGUUUGACUGGGGCGGUCGCCUCCUAAAAGGUAACGGAGGCGCUCAAAGGUUCCCUCAGAAUGGUUGGAAAUCAUUCAUAGAGUGUAAAGGCAUAAGGGAGCUUGACUGCGAGACCUACAAGUCGAGCAGGGUCGAAAGACGGACUUAGUGAUCCGGUGGUUCCGCAUGGAAGGGCCAUCGCUCAACGGAUAAAAGCUACCCCGGGGAUAACAGGCUUAUCUCCCCCAAGAGUUCACAUCGACGGGGAGGUUUGGCACCUCGAUGUCGGCUCAUCGCAUCCUGGGGCUGUAGUCGGUCCCAAGGGUUGGGCUGUUCGCCCAUUAAAGCGGUACGCGAGCUGGGUUCAGAACGUCGUGAGACAGUUCGGUCCCUAUCCGUCGUGGGCGUAGGAAAUUUGAGAGGAGCUGUCCUUAGUACGAGAGGACCGGGAUGGACAUACCUCUGGUGUACCAGUUGUCGUGCCAACGGCAUAGCUGGGUAGCUAUGUGUGGACGGGAUAAGUGCUGAAAGCAUCUAAGCAUGAAGCCCCCCUCAAGAUGAGAUUUCCCAACUUCGGUUAUAAGAUCCCUCAAAGAUGAUGAGGUUAAUAGGUUCGAGGUGGAAGCAUGGUGACAUGUGGAGCUGACGAAUACUAA